AGGCCAGCUCUUCCUCCCUAAAGGCACAGUGGGAAAUACAUCUCCCAACCUCUGGCAUCACCACCACUCUUUGCAACAAUACCCGAAGAAAGCUAUAAGUAAAGACUUGGAUUCAGCUGGAUCAUCAUCAUCAAAUCAUGACUAGAAUACGACAAAGGUUUUUUAUCACAGUACAUGGAUUGAUCAGCUCAUCUGUGCCAAGACGUCUAUACAGUAUUAGGUAAAAGAAAGGUCUUCAAGAUGGCUGACUAAUGAGAGGGACAGGACACCCAAGCAGCAACCGAAUGGCCUCCUCAAAGGGAGCAGCAGUUGCAAAAUUCCAGAGCAUGUGAACCAAGAUAUGAGACAGACAGAGAGACGGAGUGAGUACCAGCCUGGUGUAACAGACAACACAGCCUUACCUGACACAGUCCCAAGAGGAAUGCUGGAGUACAAGUUCCACUUCUGUGGAGUUUUUGUGAGUUUGCACACAGCAGAUUAAGCAUGAAUUGAAAC
This is a non-coding RNA of Pogona vitticeps (central bearded dragon), 495 nucleotides long. Lineage: Eukaryota; Metazoa; Chordata; Lepidosauria; Squamata; Agamidae. The record is from RefSeq and is a predicted model, not a curated record.